This 426-nucleotide ribosomal RNA is filed under the name uncultured Comamonas sp. Its description in RNAcentral is "bacterial SSU rRNA". It matches the Rfam family "Bacterial small subunit ribosomal RNA", at positions 356 to 774 of the family's 1533-position model. Lineage: Bacteria; Pseudomonadati; Pseudomonadota; Betaproteobacteria; Burkholderiales; Comamonadaceae. The record is from RNAcentral.
GGGGAAUUUUGGACAAUGGGCGCAAGCCUGAUCCAGCAAUGCCGCGUGCAGGAUGAAGGCCUUCGGGUUGUAAACUGCUUUUGUACGGAACGAAAAGCCUCUCUCUAAUACAGGGGGGUGAUGACGGUACCGUAAGAAUAAGCACCGGCUAACUACGUGCCAGCAGCCGCGGUAAUACGUAGGGUGCAAGCGUUAAUCGGAAUUACUGGGCGUAAGGCGUGCGCAGGCGGUUUUGUAAGACAGUGGUGAAAUCCCCGGGCUCAACCUGGGAACUGCCAUUGUGACUGCAAGGCUGGAGUGCGGCAGAGGGGGAUGGAAUUCCGCGUGUAGCAGUGAAAUGCGUAGAGAUCGGGAGGAACAACAGUGGCGAAGGCGACUGCCUGGGCCAACACUGACACUGAGGCACGGAAGCGUGGGGAGCAAACA